Molecule: long non-coding RNA, 1623 nt
Filed under: Homo sapiens (human)
Lineage: Eukaryota; Metazoa; Chordata; Mammalia; Primates; Hominidae
Description: non-protein coding lnc-EEF1AKMT1-1:1
Source: RNAcentral
UGAAGACUCUGAAAGACUAACAAGUUUUAAAGGUUCCCCCCCGCUACCGCCAAUCCUGUCAAUUUUACCAAAGCCUCAAUUUGAUGUCAACAUUUAAAGUCAACGAUUUGAUUUAAAAAGACUGAGCAGACAAUCGACCAAUGAAGCCUUGACUUUGAAAAUCUACGUGACUCAGUGCAAAAUAGUGGGUUUAACUUUAAUUAGGAUCUUAAUUUUUUUUUUUUUAGAUGUUGCCUUGCUCUGUCGCCCAGGCUGGAGUAGCUGUGGUGCGAUCUCGGCUCAUUGUAGCCUCUGCCUCCCGGGUUCCAGCGAGUCUCCUGCCUCAGCCUCCUGGGUAGCUGGGAUUACAGGCGCACGCGACCACGGCCAGCUAAUUUUUGUAUUUUUUAGUAGAGACGAGGUUUCACCAUGUUGGUAAGGCUGGUCUCGAACUCCUGACCUCAGGUGAUCCGCCCGCCUCGGCCUCCCAAAGUGUUGGGAUUACAGGCGUGAGCCACCGCGCCCUGCCAGGGCCUUCAUUUUUUUUGUUGUUGUUGUUUUUUUGCUACCAUUCUUGGGGGCGGCUGAUGAGACAAGCGAAGGAACGACUCCAGGCUGGAGACGGCCCUCAGUGUUGUAAACGCGGGAUUGAGACGCUGCGGGGAGAUGGCCUGCCUUGCGCAAGGGCCUGGGCGGGAGGGCCUGCGCCUGCGCUAGCGAGACUGGCUAGCCACUCCCACUGCACACGGCGAGUCUGGGCGACUGCGCACGCGCGGCUGGUGAGUGGCGGGUUCGGGCGCAGCUGUAGGGUUGGCUGCGCGCCGCCGAGGCGUUUUGGACUGGGUUAGGUGCCUUUUGUGUGUUUGUUUCUCACCUUUUUUCCAGGGUGGUAGUGGUGGAAGAGUUUAAUUAGCAGUGGCUGGCGGAUUCCUGAGGGAAGGAGCUGGCGCCGGCCUGAGAGUGGAUCCUGGUUGCUGUGUUAGGCGCUGUGAAACAGGACUCGGCCUGCUGUCCUUUUCAUCUUUGCCCUCAGAAGUUCGCUGAUGGAGUUUGCGAAAUGCCCAGGCCUGACUGUCCGCUCCUGGAGGGCGGGCACCCGCGGCGCCUGUCGCUGGGGCUUCUGAGGCAGGUCCCUUGCAGGAUGCGGGUGCUGCGAGGUGGAGUAGACUAGGACGCGGGCGGCUUUACUGCAAGCCCUUCUUCAGUGACGCAGCUGUGGAAAGUACUAAUAAAAAUGGAAUUGGCUGGGCAUAAUGGCUCAUGUUUGUAAUCUUAGCACUUUGGGAGAACAAGGUGGGUAGAUCACUUGAAUCGAGGAGUUCAGGACCAGCCUGGGCAACAUGACGAGACCCCCGUCUCUACAAAAAUUAGCUGGACAUGGUAGUGUGCAUCUGUAGUCCCAGCUACUCAGGAGGCUGAGCUGGGGUAAUUGCUUGAGCUGGGGAAUUUGAGGCUGCAGGGAGCCACAAUCGCACCACUGCACUCCAGCCUGGGCAGCAGAGUGAAACCCUGUCUCAAAAAAAAAAAAAAAUUUAUAUGUCAAGGAUAAAUAUAUAUGCAUAUGUGUGUAUGUAUGUGUCUGCAUAUGUAUAUGGACACACUCAUAUACACACACAAACACACUUUUAUUUUUCUUUCAGUUCU